GCCUGGCAUGUUGGCACAUCCCAGUAGUCCCAGCUACUCAGGAGGCUGAGCGGGGAGGAUGGCCCAGGUCCAGGAGUUCUGCUAUAGUGAUAAGUGCUAUGCUGAUCAGAUGUCUGUGCUAAGUUCAGCUUCAAUAUGGUGACCUCCUGGGAGAAGGGGACCACAAGAUUGCCUAAGAAGAGGUGAACCAACCCAGGUUAGAAAUGAAGCAAAUGAAAACUCCCAAGCCUGGGGCAGUGCCUGGGGCUCAAAGGAGUAGAGCGCCAGCCCCAUAUGCCACAGGUGAUGGGUUCGAACCCAACCCUG
Non-coding RNA from Otolemur garnettii (small-eared galago), 306 nucleotides. Lineage: Eukaryota; Metazoa; Chordata; Mammalia; Primates; Galagidae. The record is from Rfam.